UACGUAGGGGGCAAGCGUUAUCCGGAUUUACUGGGUGUAAAGGGAGCGUAGACGGCAAUGCAAGUCGGAAGUGAAAUACCCGGGCUCAACCUGGGAACUGCUUUGGAAACUGUAUGGCUGGAGUGCUGGAGAGGUAAGCGGGAUUCCUAGUGUAGCGGUGAAAUGCGUAGAUAUUAGGAGGAACACCAGUGGCGAAGGCGGCUUACUGGACAGUAACUGACGUUGAGGCUCGAAAGCGUGGGGAGCAAACAGG
RNAcentral lists this ribosomal RNA (253 nucleotides) under uncultured bacterium. RNAcentral describes it as "partial 16S ribosomal RNA". It matches the Rfam family "Bacterial small subunit ribosomal RNA", at positions 524 to 776 of the family's 1533-position model. The record is from RNAcentral.